GCUCACAGAGCAACAGAUGUGGCCCACACCCAUUCGAGGGAAAGAGAAAAAAACACAUUACGCAUGGGUCUCCAACUUAACACCACUGUCAACUUAACAGCAAAGCAGUUGCACAAAUUCAUCCAGGAAAGGGAGUGAACGGAAAACGUAUUGUUUGACUUGGAAUGGCACUGACUGACAUCAUCAUGAAGGCAUCAACCACAGCAGGUCCGGCAAUAACCAUGACAUCGCCAGAAGCCUUCGAACAAGGAAUCAUUGAGGACGUCACCCGUCUGGUCACACAGAAUUUCACAGAACACUUCACACAACCCUUCAGAGCUGUGGGAGCCGCCCACGUAGAGGAUGGAUCCUUUGAAGCCAUUUUCGGAGGAGUCAUUUUUGCCCUGCUCCUGGCGCUGCUCCUGGCGUUGCUGGUACUGCGCUACAUUGUCAAGCAUAAGGGCACUUACCACACCAACGAGGCCGACUGUGGUGAUUCCGUCGACAAGUUUGGCGGUGACCCUCAAAGCGAGCAGGUUCAACUAGAGAUUUUGGACAAGGAAGAAUAGAAAGAAGUAUACUUCAUUUGAAACAGGAUCUUGUUCCAUUUCUAAACCAGGGCCAAUAUUUUCUAUGGAAUUGGAAAUGCCUAUGAUGGUCAUCUUAAUUUCAAGACAACAUUUAUAUGGGGCCUACAACCAUCUCAGCUCUGCAGAUUUUGCUAUGAAGUGACAAAACAAUUAGAUCACUUAUUUUUGUAUUGCCCAUAUCGUAUAUACACUAUAUAUUGCAAAAGUAUGAGGACACCCAUUCAAAUUAGUGGAUUGGCUAUUUCAGCCACAUUACAGUCUUAUUCUACAGCUUUAUUUCCCUCAUCAAGCUACACAAAAUCUCAUAAUGACAAAGCAAAAACAGUUAUUUAUCAAUUAUUGCAAAUGUAUAUUUUUUUUAAACUGAAAUAUAGAUAAGUAUUCAGAUCCUUUACUCAGUACUUUGUUGAAGCACCUUUGGCAGUGAUUACAGCCUUGAGUCUUCUUGGGUAAGACACUACAAGCUAGGCACACCUGUAUUUGGGGAGUUUAUCCCAUUCUUCUCUACAAAUCCUCUCAAGCUCUGUCAGGUUGGAUGGGGAGAGUUGCUGCACAGCUAUUUUCAGGUCUUGGGUUCAAGUUCGGGCUCUGGCUGGGCCACUCAAGGACGUUCAGAGACUUUUCCCAAAGCCACUCCUGCAUUGUUUUGACUGUGUGCUUGGGAUCGUUGUCCUGUUGGAAGUUGAACCUUCAAGCCAGUCUAAGGUCCUGAGUGCUCUAGAAAAGGUUGUCAUUAAUGAUCUCUCUGUACUUUGCUCAGUUCAACUUUACCACAAUCCUGACUAGUCUCCCAGACCCUGCCACUGAAAAAUAUCCCCACAACAUGAUGCAUCAUGCUUCACCGUAGGGAUGGUGCCAGGUUUACUCCAGACGUGACUCUUGGCAUUCAGGCCAAAGAGUUCAAUCUUGGUUUCAUCAGACCAGAGAAUCUUGGAGAAUCUCAUGGUCUGAGAGUCCUUUAGGGGCUUUUAUUGGGCACACUCCAAUCGAGCUGUCAUGUGCCUUUUACUGAGGAAGGGCUUCCGUCUGGCCACUCUACCAUAAAAGCCUGAUUUGUAGAGUGCUGCAGAGAUGAUUGUCCUUCUGGAAGGUUCUCCCAUCUCCACAGAGCAACUCUGGAGUGCUGUCAGAGUGACCAUCCGGUUCUUGGUCACCUCCCUGACCAAAGCCCUUCUCCCCCAAUUGUUCAGUUUAGCCGGGCGACUAGCUCUAGGAAGAGUCUUGUUGGUUCCAAACUUGUAUUCCAUUUAAGAAUGAUGGAGGCCACUGUGUUCUUUGGGACCUUCAUUGCUGCAGAAAUGUUUUGGUACCCUUUCCCAGAUCUGUGCCUCGACACAAUCCUGUCUCGGAACUCUAUGGACAAUUCCUUCGACCUCAUGGCUUGGUUUUUGCUCUGUUAUGCACUGUCAACUAUAGACAGGUGUGUGCCUUUCCAAAUCAUGUCCAAUCAAUUGAAUUUAUCACAGGUGGACUUCAACCAAGUUGUAGAAACAUAUCAAGGAUGAUCAGUGGAAACAGGAUGCACCUGAGCUCAAUUUCGAGUCUCAUAACAAAGGGUCUGAAUACCUAUGUAACAUUAGAGUGUCUAGUUUGAGAAACAAAUGACUCACAAGUCCUCAACUGGUAGCUUCAUUAAAUAGUACCAACAAAACACCAGCAAAACACCAGUCUCAACCUCGGUGAACCAGUGAACCAGUGAAGAGGCGAAUCCGUGAAGCUGGCCUUCUAGGCCGAGUUGCAAAGAAAAAGCCAUAUCUCAGACUGGCCAAUAAAAAUAAAAGAUUAAGAUGGGCAAAAGAACACAGACACUGGACAGAGAAACUCUGUCUAGAAGGCCAGCAUCCCAGAGUCGCCUCAUCACUGUUGAUGUUGCUCAGUUGUGCACUGGGGCCUCCCACUCCUCUUUCUAUUCUGGUUAGAGACAGUUUGCAGUGUUCUGUGAAGGGAGUAGUACACAGUGUUGUACGAGAUCUUUAGUGUCUUGGCAAUUUCUCGCAUGGAAUAGCCUUAAUUUCUUAGAACAUGAAUAGACUGACGAGUUUCAGAAGAAAGUUAUUUUUUUCCGGACAUUUUGAGCCUGAACCCACAAAUGCUGAUGCUCCAGAUAUUCAACUAGUCUAUUGAAGGUCUGUUGUAGUGCUUCUUUAUCAAAACAACAGUUUUCAGCUGUGCGAACAUAAUUGCAAAAUAGUUUUCCAAUGAUCAAUUAGCCUUUUAAAAUGAGAAACUUAGCAAACACAACGUGCCAAUGGAACACAGGAGUGAUGGUUGCUGAAAAUGGACCUCUGUACGCCUAUGUAGAUAUUUCAUAGAAAGCCAGCCGUUUCCAGCUACACUAGUCAUUUACAACAUUAACAAUGUCUACUCUGUAUUUCUGAUCAAUUUGAUGUUAUUUUAAUGGACACUUUUUUUUGCUUUUCUUUCAAAAACAAGGAAAUUCUAAGUGACCCCAAACGUUUGAACGGUAGUGUAUGCUCAAAGUAUUAACAUCCCAAAAUACUGUAUCGGUGACUAAAUGUGGUCAAGUUUAUGUUGAAGAUAAUGCAUGUCUGUUGUUUUAUCACAUGAAAAUGCCAUUAGAUAAAGUGUGGGUAUGUAUCAAGCUACACAUUUGAUACAUUUUCACAGUCAUGGAUAAAAUCAGCCAAACCUUUUUCCCAAUUAAGAGUUUACUUGUAUACCCAGUCGAAAAAUCGGAUUAUUCAACACAACAUCUGGGUUCAGGAAACCAAGAUAUAGGGGCAAAUGUUUGCACUUCAAUAGUGUGUGUUAAUGAGAUUUAGAAGCUUAUGGAGGAUUUUGUGUUUUCUAUUUUCAUCAAGCUAGAAUAGAGCGAUGCAGUGCCCGAGGCUGCUGAAGGGCAGUUCUGAAUCCUUGAGUAGCGCCAGGCAGCGAUAUGUGGGUUUAAUGCAAUUCCAACAACCCCAGAAACGUUCCUGCAGAGCUGAGCCAGCACACUUUGCAAAAAACCAUUGUGCCUCUGGGAAAUCAUUUUACUCUAAUUGCGUAUUAUUCUUGGUUGGGAUACAAGACAAUACAAGCCAAUCUCAAGAUCAUACAUCACCUGAUCUACGAGCUGGCAAAGUGCACUUACUUUUGGCCAUUUGAUUGCAAGUUGAAAGUAUUUAUUUCCAUUUGUCUUCCUAAUCAAAGUAUGGGACAAUUGCUAACCUUUCUCCAAACAGAGUUUUCCUUCAAUUCUCUAAUCAAGUCCAACUUCAAAGCCAGUGACUCAGCGUGUUUGAGUGCAGUAGCUUGAGUGCUCUGUCUGAUUGAGGUAAAGACAAUAACGCCAUUGAGACAUCCAUCCAACUGCCGUCCUCACCGACAACAUAUCAAAUCCUAUUGAUCAGGGAGGAAAACACUUACAAAAUAUGUGCCCCAAAUGGCACCCUAUUUCUUAUUUAGUGCACUAGGCUACUUUUGACCAGGGUCCUAUGGGGGAAUAGGAUGCUAAAUAGGGAAUAGGGUGCCACUUGGGACUCGGCCGUGACUUCAGCAGGGCCACUGACACCUCUCAAGGAGAUGAACAACUUUUCUAAAAGAGUCAUUCCAGGGUCACUGAAGCCAUAGCCUGGCCUAGACAGCUAAACACAAGAACCAGGCGCUUGAAAGGCAAUAAUCAGGAAGUCAGCCUUGCAACCAGCAACCAGCAACCAGCCGCACUUCCCGUUCAAUGUAUUUUUAUUAUUAGGAAUCAAAUAACAGUUCAAAAGGCACCCAUCCUGUUCUCUUACAAUUGUAUCCCAGCUUUCCUCCUGGCCUUGGUGCGCAGAGAACAUACUGUUUUAUUGCGACAAUAAGCCAUACUUUGAUAUGGCCCUGAAGGCAUCAACAUAAAUUCCUUUCAUCUCGACUGCUCUGUGAAGCUUGAACAAUGGCAAAUCCAAAGCUGGUGACUUUUCCCAUCUCUUCUCCUUCUGUCGACAAAAUGGCAUAAAAUGCAAAUACAUGCUAGCAUUCUCCGUGGAUGAGCGCAGCAUGGGACUGUACUCUCCUAAAGACACCAACGAUGAAAACACAUUGAAUUUCUUUUGAACAAUGUAGCUACCUCACUCUCUUUGAGUUGUAGCUAAUUCCAGUAAAAGAGGAAACAGUACGUGAAUUAAUGAAUGACUUGACUUGGAAGCCCAUGGUCCUGUAGUCUGAGUUGUGUGGAUUAUCUCCCUUGUUAGAUAAUAGAGUCUUGUAUGCGUCCCAAACAGCACCCAUAGAGCUCUAGUCAAAAAUUGUGCACUACAGAAUGUACAGGAAAUAGUCUGCCAUUUGGGACAGAGACCUGGAUGUGUUCAGACAAAGGAAAGAAGAAUGGGAACAGGAAACUCAUUGAAUCAUCUUGUUAGAAUAUCCCCAUGGCUUACAAUAGGCGCGGUCCCAAAUGCAACCCUAUUCCCUGGUCAAAAGUAGUGCACUGCGUAGGGAUUAGGGUGCCAUUUGGGAUGCACAUUUUUAAGGUUCUGGAGCUAUUGAGAAAGGAGAGUUUUGCAUAAUACAGCAGCAAUAAAACAGAAAACGCUCAAUUCCAGCUCAUCCAAGUGUUGCUCUAUUCUAUUCUUCAAGCUAUAAUGAAGAUAUGUGACUUAGCCCCUGACAUGGCCAGCUUCCUAGGAGAAAGGACUUCCUUUCCAGACUCAAUUACUAUUUCAAUACGUUUCCGCUAUGGAUAUUGAAUAUUGCAAGAUAAGCAGUUCUCGCAAAAUGGCUAUCACAAAGUCUGCUCCGGGGUUUAUGUUAAGGCUUUUUACGCUUCUGUUCAAAGGUGCAUUGGGAAGGUUAUGAAGUACAUUUUUUGGGGGGGGCCAGGGUUACAGGAAUAAAUAAUCCAGUACCUGCCUGUGAAGACGGAUGCUACAUUGUUACAGCCAGGAAUAGUUUCUGCGCUCAGCACUUCCCCAUAGAAGUGAAUGUCAAACUUGUGAAUGUCAAACUUGCAGAGAGAGGGGAUCCCCAACAGAGCAGUGUUAGAGAACUGUUAAACCAACUCAGUGUUAAAGAUGAAAUCGGCAUAAGGUGAAACAGUGCCACUGUUCGCCCUCAGUGCAUUUGUCAUGAUUUUUGUUCUGCUGAUGAAAAGGAGGAGAGGAGCAAUCAGUAUCGUGGGCCAAAAAAUAUUCCAGUACAUAUUCUGUGUUCUAUCGCGUGUGUGUGUGUGUGUGUGGGGGGGGGCGUGUUCAUUGUUUGAAGUAUCUUCUUCGUUGUUGUAAUAUAGCAAACGGACAUGGCCGUUUCACCGAGUACGAUUUCCAGGUUUAAAACAGUUUUCAACCAAUGCAGUGUUAAAACAGUGUUCAACCAAUGCAGUGUUAAAACAGUGUUCAACCAAUGCAGUGUUAAAACAGUGUUCAACCAAUGCAGUGUUAAAACAGUGUUCAACCAAUGCAGUGUUAAAACAGUGUUCAACCAAUGCGGUGUUAAAACAGUGUUCAACCAAUGCAGUGUUAAAACAGUGUUCAACCAAUGCAGUGUUAAAACAGUGUUCAACCAAUGCAGUGUUAAAACAGUGUUCAACCAAUGCAGUGUUAAAACAGUGUUCAACCAAUGCAGUGUUAAAACAGUGUUCAACCAAUGCAGUGUUAAAACAGUGUUCAACCAAUGCGGUGUUAAAACAGUGUUCAACCAAUGCAGUGUUAAAACAGUGUUCAACCAAUGCAGUGUUAAAACAGUGUUCAACCAAUGCAGUGUUAAAACAGUUUUUAGAAGAAUUCACAAGCUUGUAACUGCAAAACUAGGCAGAAAUGCUGAAGAAACGUGAUUCAGAAAAGAGGGAACAAACGGUGUUAUGCUUUGAACUGCUUUUAAUUAAGUCUGUUCCUUUCUGUUUACUUUGAUGAAACAUUGUUUCCUUAUUAGGCUCACUGUACCAGAGAGAGCUGCAUCUCCAUAAAACUAAAGGGAACAUCAUCCCCAUUAACAACUGUUACUAAUUUAAAUACCUAUGGUUUGGUUUUGAAAGAUUCAUACAACACAAGAACAGUACACUGCCCUCUGAUCCCAGAGAUCAUAAUAACCUGGUGUCUCACUCCCAACAUUCCAACAUGCAUUUACUGUCCCCAAGGAGGCUGCCUGUUUGCCUGCCUAUAUACCCUCCUUCUUGCCUAUCUGCCUGUGUGGCUGGCUUCCUGUACAGAUAGUCUAGCAGGGAGCCUGCCUCUACCUGGCUGGCUCUCUGCCUGCCUGCCUGCCUGCCUGCCUCUCUGCCUUCCUAUCUGCCUGCCUGUCUGCCUCUCUACCUGCCUGUCUCUCUGCCUGUCUGCCUUCCUCUCUGCCUGCCUGCCUGUCUGCCUGCCUGCCUCUCUGCCUCUCUGCCUGCAUCUCUACCUGCCUGCCUCUCUGCCUGUCUGCCUUCCUCUCUGCCUGCCUCUCUGCCUGCCUGCCUCUCUGCCUCUCUGCCUGCCUCUCUGCCUGCCUGCAUCUCUGCCUGCCUGCCUGCCUGUCUGCCUACCUGCCUCUCUGCCUGCCUGCCUGCCUGGCUGGUGCGCUCAGCAGUAAGAGGUGAUAUAGGCCUAAUCAUUAUUACUCUAUGAUAACUGAUAAAUAAUCCUCAUAUGAACGGUCACUAGGGGAAAUUGGCUUUUGUUAUUUCAUGUGUAACCGCAUUGCACCUGCAGAAGCCAGCACUGAAUCAUCUGCAGGGAGUCUGCUAGGCUGUAUUGUCAUUAACAAACUACUGGAAUUGUGUUUGUGUGUGUAUAUGGAUGGGUUAUUUUGGGUCCUAGAGUAUGUUCACUUUUUUCACGUACUGUAGUUCCAUCUUGUUUUAUUUUUUUUAUAAUAAUAAUAAUGACUGUUUUUUGAAUACAGGCAGAGCAUUGAAAGGUCUCUGUACUUUGUUUUCUCUCUCUCAGUGUGAGAAGCCAGUUCCAAGUUCCAGUUGUCUUUCCAGACUUAGUUGUUGUGACAAACUUUUGACCAGAUAAUUCAGUUCCCUGGGUGUAAUUAUUCAGUUGACUGCAGGCACAUUUAGAUUUAAUUAAAAGUGAGAGCCCAAUAUCACUUGUCAUUGCACCUGACACCCUGACGUUAACUUUGCAGCUUUGCAUUCAUUAGAGCAGGCAGUCAUUUUGUCACAUCUCCUUUGGAAUUGCCUAAAGUUGUAUCUUAUUUACAGCAUAAUUCUAGCAGAAUAUAGUGUACAUCCUUAGGCAUGAAAGUAACAAAACGGAGGUGUGUGUGUGUGUGUGUUUGUGCGUGUUGGCAGAGGCCUUCCAGGUUCCCCACAGUCAUAACACGGUAGGAGCGUGGCUGUGUCUUUGCACUGCCAAUUAUCACUCCGGAAAUUGACUAAACAGACUAACUACAUCACACACACAUUGUGUGGGGUGAUUGAUUUGAAAAAUCUGCUUUAAAAAGCUUGGUCUCUAAUUAGAUGAAACAGGAGAAAAUAGAUCUCACAAAACAUCUUGCUCACCUUGCAUGGCCUCUGCCAGGUUUUGCUUGAAAGGCAGAGGCAUCUUCAGCAUCUUUUCGACACUCUCUGAAUAGGCCAGAUACAUUUCCACUGUCAUUUCUGAUGUGGACUGACUCAGUGUUACCGGAUUGUCGAAAUCAAAUUGAAUUCUUUAGGACAGAUAGCUACAACUCUUCAGGGAAAUAUCCAGAUACAAUAUACAGUCUGUACAACAGCAACAAUUACAAAUGAAUAAAGAUUGUGCUAAAGUAACUAUUCCUAAUAUCGAGUACACCCCCAGUGCUUAAUGGUAAACACAGCACCUUGAUGUGUGAUCUGCCUUUUUAUGAACAAAGUUUUCCUGUGGAGAAAUAGAGUUGUUCCCUCUAACUGGACCAAUAGCCUUGUUUGGUAUGCAGGUCCACCUGCAGGUCCACCGGAGGCCCCAAAACAUAACAAUUCAUUGGCUCUAGUUCUCCUUUGUGUCAGAUCCCACAUUUCAACUCAAUUAAACCCCAUUUUAUUUCAGAGCUGCAUUUGCAGCAUGAGUGUGACUAAUUGAAAAGUGACCGGAAAGGAAAAGCAAUUUUCUCACCUAGAAAUGACUCGCCUACUCGUCACACAAUGCAUUUUUCUUUCUCAAAUCGAACAAAUGGUUCAAGCCUCUGCUCAAACUUAGGAACAGUGAGCCUCAUUAUCACGUUGGGAAGGCGGAUGAAUGAUGCCUAUUCAUCCACCAUAACAUAUCAUAGGGCUUUCUCUCUUUGUGCUCGUUCGCCAUGAGAUGAGGAAAUAAGAAUGGCAUCAUUUCACACAGACAGGGCAAAUACAGUUAAUUGUUCCAAGUGUUAUUGUUAAAGCCUCUUAAUCCUAGGAUUUAAGAGUGAUUAACGUUUGUUUUCAUAAGAUUGAACAAUGGACUAAAAGCUGUCGUGUUUAAUCACAAGACAUUCUUAUAAACUAGGGGAAUUUGUUAUUUUAUUUCAUGGUUAGCACCAAUCAGUGCUAAAAGACUUGCACUCUCCUGGAUAAGCUCUUGAAAGUAAGUCCAUUCAUACAAAUAAAUCUAAUUUGACUUUGCCUUUGAGUCAUUCCAUUGGACCACCUCCACUACAGUAUUAGCAGGGAGUUUUUAUAACUAACCCAAGAUGGACAAGAGCCUGUCGUUUCCAACGGGAGCAAAUGAAUCACAGCGUGCAGAACAAGAAGGUGGGCAGAGUCAAACACCAGCUACUGAGAUCUUUUUGGCGUUAUUUGCAUAUUUCAGUUAGGGAACGCCUACUCUGGGAGGUGCGCGUGUGCACUCUAAGCAACGCACUUUUUUUUGAAACUUUGGCAAAACGCAGUCCACUCUGUUUGUUACAGCUUUUAGUUUGGAAGCAGAAACCUGUAUGGAGAUCAACAUGUGUCAUCGAUGAGAAAAUCAACAGAAUACCGGACAAAAUCCAUCUCGCUUAAUGUUCUCCCAUUGCCGGCCACUGGGCUUCCAUACUAGUGAGUGGAAAUGCCAACCGGAUGCUUCGCGUCUAUGCAUCCAGUUUAAUAUAUGGCUCAUCGUUCUGUCUGUGGUAUUAGAUUUUCUGUGAUAGUGAGACACUUCCCUCUUGUGGUGAAAAGGAUCCUGUAGUUGUAUGGAAGUCAAAUGUUCUGGCUGCGCCACCCAGUGGUAAAUUCUAAGUACUGCAAUGAGAAUACUGGAACACUGGUGGUCAACAUUCAUUCAAAACAACCACUCCUUCUGAAAGUAACGUCUUCGCCAGAGGCGUGACAGUUGGUGAUAGAGUGGGGAAAUUACUAGUGAGAGGAAGCAUCCUUUUCAGUCAACCUCAAAGUUCCAUUUACAUUUUGAUCUGCAGAGGUUGGGUUUAGAGUUGAGGUUUAGGGAACGUGUUAAGGUUAGGAUUCGAGUGGUUAACAUAGACUCUGGCCAUGGGAACUUAUUUGUACAUUUGAACUGUCCUGUUAUGACCCGUAUGACUGUGUUGAAUAUCACUCCCCUGACCACAUUUUAUAAAGUGCCUGGGGAAGCGAGGGCCUCCACCGUGGGAGAUUUAUGAUAUGGAUUUAUUUUAUUAUCAAGUAAUAAAAGUGGUCCGAACAUCUGUUUUAUUACUUUUAUUUUAAAAAGGGGUGCCAAUACUGAUGGAGAAUUACGAGGUGAUUUACUGGACAUCAGGACUUACAGCUGACUUGUAAGUCCUGACGUACUUCAAAAUUCCAAGUAUGGCAGUACCAAGUACCUAAAGUAAGGAAUGCAUAAUGGAUACCAUGCCAAACAAGCAAAAGCAAAAGGCUAUUGUAGGCUCAGAAAAAAAGUGUUGGCAGCAAAAUACAAAGGACGCUUUAUGUUGCGCUUUACCAUCGAGCAAAACCCAGCAGACCAGUCUAGACCAAUUGAAAUCUUACCCUGAAUUCAGAGAGAUACUCUGCCAAUAACAGAGUGGGCUAGACUGGCAGAGACGGAGUGUUUGUUUCUAGAAAUAAGGGUGUUUUGAAUGGGCACAUUCUGCUAGUAUUGAUAAACAGGUCUGUUGGCAGGCGGCUGAUGUGGGCAGGGGUUUGAGUUAGCCCAGGCCCAGACGCUCAGACCGUUCUGUUGGAGGGACGCCAGUGAAAUUCUCUGGCCUGCUAGAGGCAAACGAUUAUGUGAAGAAGACCGCCAAGAGCAUAAUUUCCCGUUAGAAUGGGAAUUAGAGAACCACACACUUAGUUCAAUCCCAUCAGUCACUAGGAAAAUGGAUGGAUGAAGGAAGGAUGGACGAAGUGGGGUGCACAUGCAGAUGUGCUGAGUCACAGGCCAUUGUGACAUCCCUUCCUCUGUCUCAAAACAACAAAGAUCCAUCUAUGUGGUCCAAGCCAGGCCAAGGGAUAAUUUCAGAGAAGAGGACAGAGGGGGUAACAUCUAUGGGAUGGAAGAGUGAGGACAGGGUGGAGGACUGGAUGUGUUGGGAUGAUGUCUGGACCUACUGUAAUAAGACAGUUAUUGUUAACACAUUACACACACACACCAAUGGAGGCUCCUCAGACGAGGAAGGGAAGGACCAUCCUUCUCAGUGAAUUUCAGAAAAAUAGAAAUAGUCAAACAAUAAUAAAAUGCAAUCCUUUUUAGAUAAAACUACAGUAAAUAUAUUCAAAUGUCACCAAAUACCUAAUUAAAACACACUGUUUUGCAAUGGUCUACAGUAAUCUCAACAGCACCCUCUAGGGUAGCACCAUGGUAUAGCCGGAGGACAUCUAUUUUCCAUCCUCCUCUGGCUACAUUGACUUCAAUACAAAACCUAGGAGGCACGUGCUCCUCACCCCCUUUCAUAGAACUUCCCGAAGGACGUCCUCCAACCAAUCAAAGCUUUUGCAGUAUGAACUAACAUGUUGUCCACUCAACCAAAGGAUCAGAGAACUAACCUACACAUGUGUGAUUUAGAAGCUUGGUGAGUUGGUGACAUUGUUGGAUAGAUUGAAAGAUUGAGACAGUGAAUGGUGAUAGAUGAUCAUUUUUAGGUUACUAUUACAUUCAAAUGAAUUUCUUCAAACUACAGGAGAUGUAGGAGGUAGAUUAAUCCUUGCUUGGACUAACACAUUCUUAGCUCUUCUGUCUAACUGUGUUGUGUUAUUGUUUUUUGUCUUCCCUGUUAAAUCCUGUCGCACCCUCAGUGGAAGAGUUGAGCUCUCCAACAGCAUCCAUCUGUGAUGAGCAUGUCCUGCACUGAAACCUAGCCACUGAACACCUCUACCCCUGUCCUGCACUGAAACCUAGCCACUGAACACUUCUACCCCUGUCCUACACUGAAACCUAGCCACUGAACACUUCUACCCCUGUCCUGCACUGAAACCUAGCCACUGAACACCUCUACCCCUGACCUGCACUGAAACCUAGCCACUGAAAACCUCUACCCUGUCCUGCACUGAAGCCUCUGAACACCUCAAACCCUGAACUGCACUGAAGUCAAGCCUCUCGAACACCUCAGCUCAUGUCUUAUAACCUCAUUCAGUAACUGAUGUGAUCCCUUCCCAACACUGUGUAAGUAUCAGCAUUCAACAUCAACUUUCAUUCCCAUUCCCC
Long non-coding RNA from Oncorhynchus tshawytscha (Chinook salmon), 12016 nucleotides. NCBI's taxonomy places the organism in Eukaryota, Metazoa, Chordata, Actinopteri, Salmoniformes, Salmonidae. The record is from Ensembl.